CGAACGGGUGAGUAACGCGUGAGGAACCUGCCUCAAAGAGGGGGACAACAGUUGGAAACGACUGCUAAUACCGCAUAAGCCCACGGCUCGGCAUCGAGCAGAGGGAAAAGGAGCAAUCCGCUUUGGGAUGGCCUCGCGUCCGAUUAGCUAGUUGGUGAGGUAACGGCCCACCAAGGCGACGAUCGGUAGCCGGACUGGGAGGUUGAACGGCCACAUUGGGGCUGAGACACGGCCCAG
RNAcentral lists this ribosomal RNA (237 nucleotides) under uncultured bacterium. RNAcentral describes it as "partial 16S ribosomal RNA". It matches the Rfam family "Bacterial small subunit ribosomal RNA", at positions 99 to 334 of the family's 1533-position model. The record is from RNAcentral.